Molecule: transfer RNA, 65 nt
Filed under: Biomphalaria choanomphala
Lineage: Eukaryota; Metazoa; Mollusca; Gastropoda; Planorbidae
Description: tRNA-Asn
Source: RNAcentral
UUAAUUGAAGCAUUAUUAAAUGCAUUUAACUGUUAAUUAAAUUAAUCACUCUAGUGACUUUUAAA